Molecule: ribosomal RNA, 497 nt
Filed under: uncultured bacterium
Lineage: Bacteria
Description: partial 16S ribosomal RNA
Rfam family: Bacterial small subunit ribosomal RNA
Source: RNAcentral
GACGAACGCUGGCGGCGUGCCUAAUACAUGCAAGUUGAGCGCUGAAGGUUGGUACUUGUACCAACUGGAUGAGCAGCGCACGGGUGAGUAACGCGUGGGGAAUCUGCCUUUGAGCGGGGGACAACAUUUGGAAACGAAUGCUAAUACCGCAUAAAAACUUUAAACACAAGUUUUAAGUUUGAAAGAUGCAAUUGCAUCACUCAAAGAUGAUCCCGCGUUGUAUUAGCUAGUUGGUGAGGUAAAGGCUCACCAAGGCGAGGAUACAUAGCCGACCUGAGAGGGUGAUCGGCCACAUUGGGACUGAGACACGGCCCAAACGCCUACGGGAGGCAGCAGUAGGGAAUCUUCGGCAAUGGACGAAAGUCUGACCGAGCAACGCCGCGUGAGUGAAGAAGGUUUUCGGAUCGUAAAACUCUGUUGGUAGAGAAGAACGUGGGUGAGAGUGGAAAGCUCAUCAAGUGACGGUAACUACCCAGAAAGGGACGGCUAACUACGUG